Molecule: ribosomal RNA, 424 nt
Filed under: uncultured bacterium
Lineage: Bacteria
Description: partial 16S ribosomal RNA
Rfam family: Bacterial small subunit ribosomal RNA
Source: RNAcentral
AAUAUUGGACAAUGGGCGAAAGCCUGAUCCAGCCAUGCCGCGUGUGUGAAGAAGGUCUUCGGAUUGUAAAGCACUUUAAGUUGGGAGGAAGGGCAGUAAGCUACUACCUUGCUGUUCUGACGUUACCGACAGAAUAAGCACCGGCUAACGUCGUGCUCGCAGCCGCGGUAAUACGAAGGGUGCAAGCGUUAAUCGGAAUUACUGGGCGUAAAGCGCGCGUAGGUGGUUUGAUAAGUUGGAUGUGAAAGCCCCGGGCUCAACCUGGGAACUGCUUUCAAAACUGGCAAGCUAGAGUAUGGCAGAGGGUGGUGGAAUUUCCUGUGUAGCGGUGAAAUGCGUAGAUAUAGGAAGGAACACCAGUGGCGAAGGCGACCACCUGGACUGAUACUGACACUGAGGUGCGAAAGCGUGGGGAGCAAACAGG